AACUAAUGAGCUUGAACAAGCAUGUAUUUUGAAAAUACAUGAAAGAUUAAUAAAUCUAUUAGUUU
Molecule: transfer RNA, 65 nt
Filed under: unidentified
Description: Strongylium kulzeri tRNA-Ser
Source: RNAcentral